Long non-coding RNA from Carica papaya (papaya), 1059 nucleotides. RefSeq lists it as uncharacterized. Lineage: Eukaryota; Viridiplantae; Streptophyta; Magnoliopsida; Brassicales; Caricaceae. The record is from RefSeq and is a predicted model, not a curated record.
AAAAGAGAAGCCGAAAUGAGAGAGAGGAGGAGAGGAGCCGAUUGGACGAGAGAGGAGGCCGAGAUUGAGGAAGAUUCGGGCCGAGAAGGAGAAGGGAAUACCGCGCGAGGGAGAGACGAGCAAGGAAACUCGAAGGAGAGAAAGAAAUGCAACCGAAGAAGAGAGGAGGAGGUAUCGGAGGCGGAAAGUCAAAGGCAAGGGAAGGAAAGGGAAUCAUGGCUGAGAAACAUUGUGUCGAAGGCGAAAUCUGAAGCUGAGCUGCACGCAACAUCGGUGUCUAAAAAAUUUAUAAGUUUCGUCCUUUCCAUCUCUAAUUUUCGAGAAUCCCUUUUCCUAUUUCACACUAACCGACAUGUUGGUGUAAAGUCCAUUAUCCAAACUUUAAAGCAAGCGAGGAGUGUUAGCUAGGAACCAAGAAGACCAUCCUCGAAGUUGAACCCGAGGCUGUUUGGGUUUUUGGAGCACCGCACCCGAGCCAAGUGCGUUCCUUUUCCUCUUUCAGUGUGUGUUUUUAAAGAAAUGGGUAUUCAUGUGUGUGUGUGUGCAGGUUCGUGAGCUAGAGCACUCGCCUCACCAUGGUGAGUGUGAGGGUCUUCUCGAAAAAAUUGGAACGCAUCUCCAGUAGUGUAGAUCAGGAAAAGUGAGGCUGUUUGGCCUUCAUAACACCAAACUGAAGCAGAUGACCAUUCGUUUCCUUUUUCAUUGUAGAAUUUUAGGUGAUGUCGGAUGCUAAUACAUAUGUAUGUCUAUACGUAUAGGUUUUGGAGUAAAUCGCCCACACCUACACAGGAAGCUGAAGUGGUGGUUUGCCAAAUAUUGAAGAAUGAACUUGUUGUGGCCGUUGAUUAGGUGGAAUACAAUCCGUUGAAGGACUUUGGAGAAAGAAGAGUCAGAAUUGUUACCGGAUGAGUAGAAUUUUUGAAAGUGUUCUGGUUCAUCUAUAUUUUAUUCAUAUUCUAAAAAUUUUCAUUUUAUUUUGUUUUAUUCUAAAUUUUGACCUUAUAUUCUAUAUAUAUAAUUGUUGUAUAUAUCACAUUGGAUAAUAUGUUUUAUGUUAAA